This 243-nucleotide ribosomal RNA is filed under the name uncultured Symbiodinium. RNAcentral's name for it is "partial Eukaryotic large subunit ribosomal RNA". It matches the Rfam family "Eukaryotic large subunit ribosomal RNA", at positions 3079 to 3321 of the family's 3401-position model. Lineage: Eukaryota; Dinophyceae; Suessiales; Symbiodiniaceae. The record is from RNAcentral.
GAAAAGCCAAUGGCGCAAAGCUAACACCUGCCGCCUAAUGACUGAACGCCUCUAAGUCAGAAGGCACGCUAGGUGCGAGGUCACUUUUCCCAAUGAUGUCACCCGCCUAAGAAUACGCUCGGCUUGUCCGAGUGCAAGAGCAUACACGUUGGUUCCCCCGCGUAGGUUCACAACACCUGCGUGGGCGCCAAGGAUGGUAAUUUCAUUCGUCAUUGGGGUAAAUCCUAUGCAGACGACUUAGCU